Molecule: long non-coding RNA, 1052 nt
Organism: Neopsephotus bourkii (Bourke's parrot)
Lineage: Eukaryota; Metazoa; Chordata; Aves; Psittaciformes; Psittacidae
Exons: 3
Source: RefSeq, a predicted model, not a curated record
AUUUUUCUUUUUCUUCUUAGACUUCUCAGUCAAAGAAACAGAAAGCACCAAGAAUGUGAAACAGCCUGGAAAUAUUUUCUCCUCCAUCAAGAAGCACAACAUGUCCUUUCAAAGCUUAAUUGAGCAGCACAGAGCUAAUUAGCUGUCCAAAGACAUGCCAUUUAAUUCACUACCCAGCAUUAAUUUGUUCUACAGACUGAGCUUAUCUCAUAUAUAAAUGCCUUUGCCCUGUAGCUUUCCAAACAGCUGCAAUAUACAAAAAAGACUGAUAACUCUGUCAUUUAAAUGUUGCUUGCUUCCUUCACUUCUGCAUAAAAUACUGAACUGCGUGUGAAUUGUAACUGGAAAGUUUUCAUGGUCACAACAAAAAAAUAAUUUGUUUUUAUUCUCUUUUAGCUGGAAAUGAUGUUAUCACUCUGGGAUUGAAAACCCACCAUUUGAGGUUUGCACUAGAUUAUAGUUUACAAUUUGUUAAUCUAAUGUGGAAUUUUGAUAGUAUGUUGAAUGGUUUCAAAGCUUUUUGAAGAUAGCUUGUUAAAAUGGUCUAUUGUGGUCAGUGACCAAGGAGUGGAUAAAAUCUGCUGCCUACACAUGUCUGUAUGAGACUUAUGGGGCAGGCAUCAUUCAUCCAGCAACUGAUCCUCAACAUAAUCUGGUCCUGAGCUCUGCUUCCUCCAUUGCCUUACCAACCUAAGGUGAAGGUUGUGCUUCCCUCGCUGACCCUGUGCAAGUGAAGAACUGCAUCCCUCUCCCCUGAAAGACAGAAGUGAUAAUCCAAUUGCCAGCUGCCCAUUGUGCAAAUGGAAAAGAGUAUUUUUAUCUAGCUGAAAGAUAGAGGAUGAAGUGUCACCUUCCCGGGAUGACAGAUGGUAAGACAAACAGUCCAACCACAGACAGUUUUCCUGAGAACAUGAUCUGCUUGUGCAUGUUGAUAUUGUUGGCUUAUUGAGCUGCUGAUCACCUCUUUUCACUGCAUGGACUGUGGCAGCUCUGGGUGUGAGGCACAGGGUGCAUAGCUGGGAAAGGGCUUUCCUGCUGCUAGUAUAAGUGCU